RNAcentral lists this long non-coding RNA (489 nucleotides) under Homo sapiens (human). RNAcentral's name for it is "PCBP1 antisense RNA 1". The record is from RNAcentral. Lineage: Eukaryota; Metazoa; Chordata; Mammalia; Primates; Hominidae.
GGGGGGGAGGGGCGGCGAGGCGAGGCCUGCGGAGCGGAGGAAGACAAACAUAAAGAUGAAGUGCUUAAUUCAAGGUCACACAAUGUCGGGGAUGGACCUCCAGAUUUCCUUACUGGUGAGACGUGGUCUUGUAACACAGUGGUUAAGAAUGUGACUUUGGAGCCAGCCUGCUAGGGGCUGAAUUCUGACUCAGCCAUUUACUAACUGUGUGACCUUAGUCUGUCUAGUGACUGGUGUUGUCAUAAGAAGAGAGGGACACAGAGGGAAGAUGGCCACAUGAAGAUGGAGGCAGAGAUUGCAGUUAUGCUGCUGCAAACUAAGGAAUGGCUCUGGCCCUCCAAGGAUUGCUGAUAACCACCAGAAACUAGAAGAGACAAGGAAGGAUUCUUCCCUAGAGCCUUCAGAGGGAGCAUGGCCCUACUGACACCUGGAUUUCAAACUUGUAGCUUCCUAAACUGCAAGAGAAUAAAUUUCUGUUGUUUUAAGCCA